RNAcentral lists this ribosomal RNA (490 nucleotides) under uncultured bacterium. RNAcentral's name for it is "partial 16S ribosomal RNA". It matches the Rfam family "Bacterial small subunit ribosomal RNA", at positions 29 to 507 of the family's 1533-position model. The record is from RNAcentral.
AGUGAACGCUGGCGGCAGGCCUAAUACAUGCAAGUCGAACGGCAGCACAGUGGAGCUUGCUCCAUGGGUGGCGAGUGGCGGACGGGUGAGGAAUACAUGGGAAUCUGCCCAGUCGUGGGGGAUAACGUAGGGAAACUUACGCUAAUACCGCAUGCGCCCUUCGGGGGAAAGCCGGGGACCUUCGGGCCUGGCGCGAUUGGAUGAGCCCAUGUUCGAUUAGCUAGUUGGCGGGGUAAAGGCCCACCAAGGCGACGAUCGAUAGCUGGUCUGAGAGGAUGAUCAGCCACACUGGGACUGAGACACGGCCCAGACUCCUACGGGAGGUAGCAGUAGGGAAUAUUGGACAAUGGGCGCAAGCCUGAUCCAGCCAUGCCGCGUGAGUGAAGAAGGCCCUCGGGUUGUAAAGCUCUUUUGUCCGGGAAGAAAAGCAUCGGGCUAAUACCUCGGUGUUCUGACGGUACCAGAAGAAUAAGCACCGGCUAACUUCGUG